Small nuclear RNA from Erinaceus europaeus (western European hedgehog), 103 nucleotides. Lineage: Eukaryota; Metazoa; Chordata; Mammalia; Eulipotyphla; Erinaceidae. The record is from Ensembl.
GUUCUAAUCUUAGAAGCACAUAUACUAAAAUUAGAACCCUAUAGAGAUUUGGAUGGGUCCUGUACAAGGAUGAACACAAAUUAGUGAAGUAUUCCAUAUUUAU